Molecule: ribosomal RNA, 778 nt
Filed under: marine metagenome
Description: bacterial SSU rRNA
Rfam family: Bacterial small subunit ribosomal RNA
Source: RNAcentral
UACUGACACUGAGUGCGAAAGCGUGGGUAGCGAACAGGAUUAGAUACCUGGUAGUCCACGCCGUAAACGAUGACAACUAGCUGUUGGGAGACAAGAUCUCUCAGUGGCGCAGCUAACGCUUUAAGUUGUCCGCCUGGGGAGUACGGCCGCAAGGUUAAAACUCAAAUGAAUUGACGGGGACCCGCACAAGCGGUGGAGCAUGUGGUUUAAUUCGAUGCAACGCGAAAAACCUUACCUACUCUUGACAUACUUGGAAGCUCUUGUAAUGAGAGUGUGCUUUUAGAGCCAAGAUACAGGUGCUGCAUGGCUGUCGUCAGCUCGUGUCGUGAGAUGUUGGGUUAAGUCCCAUAACGAGCGCAACCCUUACCCUUAUUUGCCAGCGGUUCGGCCGGGAACUAUAAGGGGACUGCCGGUGACAAACCGGAGGAAGGUGAGGACGACGUCAAGUCAUCAUGGCCCUUACGAGUAGGGCUACACACGUGCUACAAUGGGGAAUACAGACGGACGCUAAAGCGUGAGCUGGUGCUAAUCCUAAAAAAUUUCUCGUAGUCCGGAUUGCAGUCUGCAACUCGACUGCAUGAAGUCGGAAUCGCUAGUAAUCGCGAAUCAGCAUGUCGCGGUGAAUACGUUCUCGGGUCUUGUACACACCGCCCGUCACACCAUGGAAGUGUGUUGCACCAGAAGUAGGUAGUCUAACCCUCGGGAAGGCGCUUACCACGGUGUGAUCCAUGACUGGGGUGAAGUCGUAACAAGGUAGCCGUAGGGGAACCUGUGGCUG